GUACAUAUAAGUUAAUCAGACUAUCACCUUGAAAAGGUGCCAGUGAGCCUUGCUCUAUUACCA
Molecule: transfer RNA, 63 nt
Filed under: Asymmetron lucayanum
Lineage: Eukaryota; Metazoa; Chordata; Leptocardii; Amphioxiformes; Branchiostomatidae
Description: tRNA-Phe
Source: RNAcentral